RNAcentral lists this ribosomal RNA (502 nucleotides) under uncultured bacterium. RNAcentral's name for it is "bacterial SSU rRNA". It matches the Rfam family "Bacterial small subunit ribosomal RNA", at positions 30 to 504 of the family's 1533-position model. The record is from RNAcentral.
UGAACGCUGGCGGCGUGCUUAACACAUGCAAGUCGUACGAGAACACUCUAGCUUGCUAGGGUAAGUAAAGUGGCGCACGGGUGAGUAACGCGUGGGUAAUCUACCUUCGAAUUGGGGAUAACGUUGCGAAAGCGACGCUAAUACCGAAUAACAUCCAUUUAUCCUCGGAUUUUUGGAUCAAGGGUGGCCUCUACAUGUAAGCUACUGUUUGAAGAUGAGCCCGCGUACCAUUAGCUUGUUGGUGGGGUAAAGGCCUACCAAGGCUUCGAUGGUUAGCUGGUCUGAGAGGAUGAUCAGCCACACUGGAACUGACACACGGUCCAGACUCCUACGGGAGGCAGCAGUGAGGAAUUUUGCGCAAUGGGGGAAACCCUGACGCAGCAACGCCGCGUGAGUGAUGAAGGCUUUCGGGUCGUAAAGCUCUGUCAAGUGGGAAGAACCUGCAGUAUGUUAAUAUCAUAUUGCACUGACGGUACCACUGAAGGAAGCACCGGCUAACUCC